This 417-nucleotide unclassified non-coding RNA is filed under the name Hevea brasiliensis (rubber tree). Lineage: Eukaryota; Viridiplantae; Streptophyta; Magnoliopsida; Malpighiales; Euphorbiaceae. The record is from RNAcentral.
CUUGAAGUUGUACGGCAGCUAUUGGUUGGAAGUUUUGAGACUGCAGACCGAUUGGAAGCUCUCAUAUACUGUGCUAUAUAUCUGAAGUGGAUAAACACUGGACAAAUUCCUUGCUUUGAAGAUGGAGGUCAUCACCGACCAAACCGGCAUGCUGAAAUUUCCAGCCUUAUAUUUCGGGGGUUGGAACAAAUUUCUUGCAGAAAAGAUACUUCGCCCAAGGAAAUACUUGUUAUCCGAAAGAUCCAUCCAUGCUUGCCAUCUUUUAAAGCAGAAUUUACGGCAUCUGUCCCUUUAACUCGAAUUAGAGAUAUUGCUCAUCGGGGUGAUAUCCCUCAUGAUCUCAAGCAAGAAAUCAAACACACUAUACAAAACAAGCUUCACCGCAAUGCUGGCCCUGAAGAUUUAGUUGCUACAGAA